This 506-nucleotide ribosomal RNA is filed under the name uncultured bacterium. Its description in RNAcentral is "partial 16S ribosomal RNA". It matches the Rfam family "Bacterial small subunit ribosomal RNA", at positions 30 to 523 of the family's 1533-position model. The record is from RNAcentral.
AUUGAACGCUGGCGGCAGGCCUAACACAUGCAAGUCGAACGGUAACAGGAAACAGCUUGCUGUUUCGCUGACGAGUGGCGGACGGGUGAGUAAUGUCUGGGAAACUGCCUGAUGGAGGGGGAUAACUACUGGAAACGGUAGCUAAUACCGCAUAACGUCGCAAGACCAAAGAGGGGGACCUUCGGGCCUCUUGCCAUCGGAUGUGCCCAGAUGGGAUUAGCUAGUAGGUGGGGUAGCGGCUCACCUAGGCGACGAUCCCUAGCUGGUCUGCGAGGAUGACCAGCCACACUGGAAAUGAGACACGGUCCAGACUCCUGCGGGAGGCAGCAGUGGGGAAUAUUGCACAAUGGGCGCAAGCCUGAUGCAGCCAUGUCGCGUGUAUGAAGGAGGCCUUCGGGUUGUAAAGUACUUUCAGCGGGGAGGAAGGGAGUAAAGUUAAUACCUUUGCUCAUUGACGUUACCCGCAGAAGAAGCACCGGCUAACUCCGUGCCAGCCGCCGCGGUAA